This 1546-nucleotide ribosomal RNA is filed under the name uncultured bacterium. RNAcentral's name for it is "bacterial SSU rRNA". It matches the Rfam family "Bacterial small subunit ribosomal RNA". The record is from RNAcentral.
AGUUUGAUCCUGGCUCGAACGAACGCUGGCGGCGCGCCUAACACAUGCAAGUCGUGCGAGAAAGGCACCUUCGGGUGCCGAGUACAGCGGCGAACGGGUGAGUAACACGUGAGUAACGUGCCUUCGAGCGGGGAACAAUCCUUCGAAAGAAGGGCUAAUGCCGCAUGAGACCACGGGGUCGCAGGACCCAGCGGUCAAAGAUUUCGAGGUUCGCCUCGGAAUCGCUCGAAGAUCGGCUCGCGGCCCAUUAGGUCGUUGGUGAAGGUAACGGCUCACCAAGCCGAAGAUGGGUAGCUGGUCUGAGAGGACGAUCAGCCACACUGGGACUGAGACACGGCCCAGACUCCUACGGGAGGCAGCAGUGGGGAAUCUUGCGCAAUGGGGGCAACCCUGACGCAGCGACGCCGCGUGUGUGACGAAGGCCUUCGGGUCGUAAAGCACUGUCAGGUGGGAAGAAGGCGUGUAUGGCUUCGGUCAUGCACGUUGACGGUACCGCCGAAGGAAGCACCGGCCAACUCCGUGCCAGCAGCCGCGGUAAGACGGAGGGUGCAAGCGUUGUUCGGAAUCAUUGGGCGUACAGGGUGCGCAGGCGGCCUGGCAAGUCCGAUGUGAAAGCCCGGGGCUCAACUCCGGAAUCGCAUUGGAAACUGUCAGGCUUGAGUCCGAGAGGGGCCAGUGGAAUUCCUGGUGUAGGGGUGAAAUCCGUAGAGAUCAGGAGGAACACCGGCGGCGAAAGCGACUGGCUGGAUCGGGACUGACGCUGAGGCACGAAAGCGUGGGCAGCGAACAGGAUUAGAUACCCUGGUAGUCCGCGCCCUAAACUAUGUUCACUGGACGUUGGAUGUGUCAAACCGUCCAGGGUCGAAGCUAACGCGUUAAGUGAACCGCCUGGGGAGUACGGCCGCAAGGCUAAAACUCAAAGGAAUUGACGGGGGCCCGCACAAGCGGUGGAGCAUGUGGUUUAAUUCGAAGCAACGCGAAGAACCUUACCUAGGUUUGACAUCCCGCGAACCUCCCCGAGACGGGAGGGUGCCCCUUGGGGAACGCGGUGACAGGUGCUGCAUGGCUGUCGUCAGCUCGUGCUGUGAGGUGUUCGGUUAAGUCCGGCAACGAGCGCAACCACUGUCCUUAGUUGCUACCAGUUUUAGCUGGGCACUCUAAGGAGACUGCCGGCGCAAAGCCGGAGGAAGGUGGGGAUGACGUCAAGUCCUCAUGGCCCUUAUACCUAGGGCUACACACGUGCUACAAUGGUCGGUAUAGCGGGUGGCGCGACCGCGAGGUCAAGCCAAUCCUUCAAAGCCGGCCUCAGUUCGGAUUGCAGUCUGCAACUCGACUGCAUGAAGGCGGAAUCGCUAGUAAUCGCGGAUCAGAACGCCGCGGUGAAUUCGUUCCCGGGCCUUGUACACACCGCCCGUCACACCAUGGAAGUCACCUGCUCCAGAAGUCGGUGACCCAACUGGCCUCGCCAGAGGGAGCCGCCGAAGGAGUGGGUGGUGACUGGGGUGAAGUCGUAACAAGGUAGCCGGACCGCAGGCUCAAGCUGCAU